UACGGAGGAUGCAAGCGUUAUCCGGAAUGAUUGGGCGUAAAGCGUCCGCAGGUGGCAGUGUAAGUCUGCUGUCAAAGAAUGAGGCUUAACCUCAUCAAGGCAGUGGAAACUACACAGCUAGAGUACGGUCGGGGUAGAAGGAAUUCCUGGUGUAGCGGUGAAAUGCGUAGAGAUCAGGAAGAACACCGGUGGCGAAAGCGUUCUGCUAGACCUGUACUGACACUGAGGGACGAAAGCUAGGGGAGCGAAUGGG
This 253-nucleotide ribosomal RNA is filed under the name uncultured bacterium. Its description in RNAcentral is "partial 16S ribosomal RNA". It matches the Rfam family "Bacterial small subunit ribosomal RNA", at positions 524 to 776 of the family's 1533-position model. The record is from RNAcentral.